Molecule: small nuclear RNA, 116 nt
Filed under: Vitis vinifera (wine grape)
Lineage: Eukaryota; Viridiplantae; Streptophyta; Magnoliopsida; Vitales; Vitaceae
Description: U5 spliceosomal RNA
Rfam family: U5 spliceosomal RNA
About the family: U5 RNA is a component of both types of known spliceosome.
Source: Rfam by way of RNAcentral
GAGCCGUGUGAAGACCACAAAGCGAACUAUUCUUUCCCUUUUACUGAAGAAUACCAUGUGCCCCCCAUCCAAAUCGGCAUACAUUUAUUAUUAGAGGAGCCUUCCAUAAAUGGAUU